RNAcentral lists this ribosomal RNA (602 nucleotides) under Amandinea punctata. RNAcentral describes it as "SSU rRNA". It matches the Rfam family "Bacterial small subunit ribosomal RNA", at positions 421 to 1097 of the family's 1533-position model. Lineage: Eukaryota; Fungi; Ascomycota; Lecanoromycetes; Caliciales; Caliciaceae. The record is from RNAcentral.
AGCUGUCAAAUAAAGUUCUAGGUAGAAUUAUGAUGAUGACAUUGUUCACCUAUGUGUCUUGACCAAAUUACGUGCCAGCAGUCGCGGUAAUACGUAAAAGACUAGUGUUACUCAUCUUGAAUAGGUUUAAAGGGUACCUAGACGGCCAAUCAAGCCCCAAAAGGGUACUAAUGGGCUAGAGUUUAAUAUAAGUAGGCUUUAAAGUACUGAGAAUGUUGAGAGAUGAAAUUCUGUGAUACUAUAUACGGCACUGGUAAAGGCGAAAGCAUCUUAUUAUGUAAAAACUGACGUUGAGGGACGAAGGCUGUGUGUAGCAAAAAGGAUUAGAUACCCAAGUAGUCUCAGCAGAAAAUGAUGAAUGUCAUAGUGUAGAGAAAUUUUGUACUAUAAAUGAAAGUGUAAGCAUUCCACCUUAAGAGUAAUUUGGCAACAUUGGAACUGAAAUCAUUAGACCGUUUCUGAAACAAGUAGUGAAGUAUGUUGUUUAAUUUGAUGGUCCGCAAAAAACCUUACCACAAUUUGAAUAUAAAAUAUUUAUACAAGCGCUGCACGGUUGUCUUCAGUUAAUGUCGUGAGAUUCUGGUUAGUUCCAUUAAAUUAAC